This 477-nucleotide ribosomal RNA is filed under the name uncultured bacterium. Its description in RNAcentral is "partial 16S ribosomal RNA". It matches the Rfam family "Bacterial small subunit ribosomal RNA", at positions 29 to 507 of the family's 1533-position model. The record is from RNAcentral.
AUGCACGCUGGCGGCGUGCUUAACCCAUGCAAGUCGAACGGGAAAUAUUUCAUUGAGACUUCGGUGGAUUUGAUUUAUUUCUAGUGGCGGACGGGUGAGUAACGCGUGGGUAACCUGCCUUAUACAGGGGGAUAACAGUCAGAAAUGGCUGCUAAUACCGCAUAAGCGCACAGAGCUGCAUGGCUCAGUGUGAAAAACUCCGGUGGUAUAAGAUGGACCCGCGUUGGAUUAGCUAGUUGGUGGGGUAACGGCCCACCAAGGCGACGAUCCAUAGCCGGCCUGAGAGGGUGAACGGCCACAUUGGGACUGAGACACGGCCCAGACUCCUACGGGAGGCAGCAGUGGGGAAUAUUGCACAAUGGGGGAAACCCUGAUGCAGCGACGCCGCGUGAAGGAAGAAGUAUCUCGGUAUGUAAACUUCUAUCAGCAGGGAAGAUAGUGACGGUACCUGACGAAGAAGCCCCGGCUAACUACGUG